Molecule: transfer RNA, 70 nt
Filed under: Argonauta hians
Lineage: Eukaryota; Metazoa; Mollusca; Cephalopoda; Octopoda; Argonautidae
Description: tRNA-Met
Source: RNAcentral
AGUAAAGUAAGCUAAUAUUAAGCUGUUGGGUUCAUACCUCAAAAAUGGAAUCAAGAUAUUCCCUUUAUUA